GGUGGAGUGGCCGAGUGGUUAAGGCGCUGUGUUUAGGUCAUUAGAGUUCCUCUAAUACCAAAAACCGCAGUGGGAAACCUCGCGAGUUCGAAUCUCGUCUCCAUCA
This is a non-coding RNA of Colletotrichum sp. SAR 10_76, 106 nucleotides long. NCBI's taxonomy places the organism in Eukaryota, Fungi, Ascomycota, Sordariomycetes, Glomerellales, Glomerellaceae. The record is from the annotation of a GenBank genome assembly.